This 253-nucleotide ribosomal RNA is filed under the name uncultured bacterium. Its description in RNAcentral is "partial 16S ribosomal RNA". It matches the Rfam family "Bacterial small subunit ribosomal RNA", at positions 524 to 776 of the family's 1533-position model. The record is from RNAcentral.
UACGUAGGGGGCAAGCGUUGUCCGGAUUUAUUGGGCGUAAAGAGCGUGUAGGCGGCCUGGAAGGUCAGCUGUGAAAACUCGAGGCUCAACCUCGAGACGUCGGUUGAAACCACCUGGCUAGAGUCCGGAAGAGGAGAGUGGAAUUCCCGGUGUAGCGGUGAAAUGCGCAGAUAUCGGGAAGAACACCGGUGGCGAAGGCGGCCUGCUGGGACAGUGCUGACGCUGAGGCGCGACAGCGUGGGGAGCAAACAGG